CUGGGCUUGGGCUUCUGGUUUGUGGAGGAAUAGGUGGAUGCAGCUGGUUGGAACACACAGUGCGCCUGUGUAGCAGAAGUGCUAAGUCAUGGCUUGAAGCAGUGAUGGAGCACCUGGCUGGUGGGAAGGUAGGGCCAACCCAGGGGAACUCAGGUGUAUGCAAUGAGUCUGAGUGACAGGAAGGGCUGGGGCCAGGAUCCACCCCUUCCCAGACCUCAUUUAAGGGUUCCCAGUGGAGGUGAGGGAUUCUUGAUGGGGACUCCUAUCUACCUGAGGCCUUCUAAAGUCUUUAAACAGUACUACAAGAUAGUGAAAAUACCCUGCAGAACCCCUCCAUGGAUAGCAGCCUCACAGUACAACUGCAGCAUCCACAAGUGGGAGGACGUGGAGGGCCCAAGUCAGAGAUCAAGUCAUACUAACACAUAUUUCUUCCCUUUGGAUUGCAAGUCAACCAGCCUGCAACUCUGCCACCUUAAGAUAGCUUCAGAAAACUGCAGGCUCCUGCUGGCCAGACUAGCCCUGACGCCUCCUCCAUCCUCUAUCUCCAACUUCCAUCUCCAUCCUUCACCCUGCGUCCUCUUGACGAUCCCAGAGCACAGAGCAGGAGCACACCCCGCUGAUGACAACUGGUUUUCCUGCAGAACUAUCAGUGGUUUGGAUGAUGAGUUUCCUCCUGAAAGGACCUGGUCCUUUUGGUGCCAGGACCAGGUGACACCGAUGGCUCUGCAGGUGCUGGAAGAGUCGGUCCUGAAGGAUUUGCCACCUUCUGCAGGAAUAGAGCUCUAUAAGACGUGUCACCCAUCAGUGGAAACGCCAGCACCAGCCACAAGGAUGCUCAGACCAGUGUCACCCUGCUGUGACACCGAGUGACGGCACUCAAGGGUAUGAGAAAUGCCUCAAGCAGAGCCAAGCUGAUAAAGAUCACCAAUGUGAAAAUUGCAUUUCCUUCACCCAGUCCAUGCUGCGAGAAGCAACGGCAC
RNAcentral lists this long non-coding RNA (980 nucleotides) under Gallus gallus (chicken). RNAcentral describes it as "lncRNA (ENSGALG00010011301.1)". The record is from RNAcentral. Lineage: Eukaryota; Metazoa; Chordata; Aves; Galliformes; Phasianidae.